UUUUCGUCAAUGGGCGCAAGCCUGAACGAGCGAUGCCGCGUGAGUGAAGAAGGCCUUCGGGUCGUAAAGCUCUGUUGCGGGGGAAAAAAGGCAGCAUCAGGAAAUGGGUGCUGACUGAUGGUGCCCCGCCAGAAAGUCACGGCUAACUACGUGCCAGCAGCCGCGGUAAUACGGAGGAUGCGAGCGUUAUCCGGAUUUAUUGGGUUUAAAGGGUGCGUAGGCGGGCUGUUAAGUCAGCGGUCAAAUGUCGGGGCUCAACCCCGGCCUGCCGUUGAAACUGGCGGCCUCGAGUGGGCGAGAAGUAUGCGGAAUGCGUGGUGUAGCGGUGAAAUGCACAGAUAUCACGCAGAACUCCGAUUGCGAAGGCAGCAUACCGGCGCCCUACUGACGCUGAGGCACGAAAGCGUGGGUAUCGAACAGG
This 421-nucleotide ribosomal RNA is filed under the name uncultured bacterium. RNAcentral's name for it is "bacterial SSU rRNA". It matches the Rfam family "Bacterial small subunit ribosomal RNA", at positions 362 to 776 of the family's 1533-position model. The record is from RNAcentral.